Long non-coding RNA from Priapulus caudatus, 601 nucleotides. RefSeq lists it as uncharacterized. Lineage: Eukaryota; Metazoa; Priapulida; Priapulimorpha; Priapulimorphida; Priapulidae. The transcript has 3 exons. The record is from RefSeq and is a predicted model, not a curated record.
UUAGUGCUGGCGUAUAUAAGACGCACGGGAAAAGGAUCGGCGCUGGCUAUCUACCGUGUGUAUUUAUAUAUAUAUAUGUGCGUGUGCGUGUACUGACAACUAUCUCAGUCUAUCAUCGCUCUCCUUCUAAUUUUGCGCUCUUCGCAGGAACGGACCGUACACACACAUGAUGCAGCCGUUGCUGAUGCUCAGCUUUUGCGUGGCGUGCGCCGUGGCGUCGCUACCCCCACCCCCGGUUCUCCCGAGCCUCUCCUCUAACACAUAUGAAAAUCCCGCUGCAAGGAGAAUAGAGGCUCGCUUCAGAGAUCUGGCACGACCGGGAGGAAGCAGGGCCUACUUUCGCCCACCUGCGAACGUGUACCGUGGACCGCGAGCGCAUCCCACGCCCAUCGUCGCUCCGGUCUCUGCUGUGACGAACGUGAAAUACUCCAAGCCAACGCAACCCUACGAUAGACCGCCGCUGGGCGGACCGCCCCCUGGCUACAAGAGAAGCGGGAAACACUACGAGCUCGUUCCAGUUCACGAACACGAGAUGUGGAAGCCCUCGAGCUAUUCCUCAAGUCCAUCACCUGCCACCUAAAGACGGCCAAGCAUCAAGUAC